RNAcentral lists this ribosomal RNA (202 nucleotides) under Enterococcus faecalis. Its description in RNAcentral is "partial 16S ribosomal RNA". It matches the Rfam family "Bacterial small subunit ribosomal RNA", at positions 1 to 186 of the family's 1533-position model. The record is from RNAcentral. Lineage: Bacteria; Bacillati; Bacillota; Bacilli; Lactobacillales; Enterococcaceae.
UUAUUAUGAGAGUUUGAUCCUGGCUCAGGACGAACGCUGGCGGCGUGCCUAAUACAUGCAAGUCGAACGCUUCUUUCCUCCCGAGUGCUUGCACUCAAUUGGAAAGAGGAGUGGCGGACGGGUGAGUAACACGUGGGUAACCUACCCAUCAGAGGGGGAUAACACUUGGAAACAGGUGCUAAUACCGCAUAACAGUUUAUGC